AGAGUUUGAUCCUGGCUCAGAUUGAACGCUGGUGGUAUGCUUAACACAUGCAAGUCGAACGGUAACAUUGGAGCUUGCUCCAGAUGACGAGUGGCGGACGGGUGAGUAACGCGUAGGAAUCUGCCUAGUAGUGGGGGACAACAUGUGGAAACGCAUGCUAAUACCGCAUACGCCCUACGGGGGAAAGCGGGGGAUCUUCGGACCUCGCGCUAUUAGAUGAGCCUGCGUUAGAUUAGCUUGUUGGUGGGGUAAUGGCCUACCAAGGCGACGAUCUAUAGCUGGUCUGAGAGGACGAUCAGCCACACUGGGACUGAGACACGGCCCAGACUCCUACGGGAGGCAGCAGUGGGGAAUAUUGGACAAUGGGCGCAAGCCUGAUCCAGCAAUACCACGUGUGUGAAGAAGGCCUGAGGGUUGUAAAGCACUUUCAAUUGGGAGGAAAACAGCUGGGUUAAUAGCCCUGCUCUUGACAUUACCUUUAGAAGAAGCACCGGCUAACUCCGUGCCAGCAGCCGCGGUAAUACGGAGGGUGCGAGCGUUAAUCGGAAUUACUGGGCGUAAAGCGUACGUAGGCGGUUAUUUAAGUCAGAUGUGAAAGCCCCGGGCUCAACCUGGGAACUGCAUUUGAAACUGGAUAACUAGAGUUUGAUAGAGGAGAGUAGAAUUUCUGGUGUAGCGG
This 679-nucleotide ribosomal RNA is filed under the name uncultured bacterium. RNAcentral describes it as "bacterial SSU rRNA". It matches the Rfam family "Bacterial small subunit ribosomal RNA", at positions 8 to 681 of the family's 1533-position model. The record is from RNAcentral.